AGGUGCCCAGUGUGCCAGCACUGAAGGAAGGCCUGGCUGCUUGGCAAGCAUUGGUGAUGCUGUGACAUUGAGUUCCUGGGGAGGCUGCCUGCUCAGGGUUAGAGGAAAAAGGAAGGACUGGCCGCAGAAUGGGGUGGGGAGCUGGAGAAGAGAAGGGCCAAAAGUGUCAGACUGUGGGGACGAGGACCUGAAGGAGGCCCAUGAGACCUCAGGCAUGGGCCCUGGAACUCUGCCUUUUUGAAGCCUGUUGACAAUCUCACCCUAAUUUAACCCUUUGUGGAAUUCUUCCAUGAGAUGCAGUUGCCAACGUCAGGCUUCCUAGAGAAUUGAGCCUGCCCACUCUGUUAUGAAGUCUACCCAGAAGAGCUGGCAGAGUGGGCCCCUUCAUUGGGACUGCAGCAACACUGACCGAAGCAAAUCCUUCUCUUGGAAGAAACAAACUCAUUCCUCACACCUGCCUCACCCUGCUCCCACCGCCACCCCCUGCACCACACGCCAGCCCUUAAUAAAAACUAAAACUGAUGUCAUUGUAA
RNAcentral lists this small RNA (533 nucleotides) under Pan troglodytes (chimpanzee). RNAcentral's name for it is "processed transcript". Lineage: Eukaryota; Metazoa; Chordata; Mammalia; Primates; Hominidae. The record is from RNAcentral.